Molecule: long non-coding RNA, 2410 nt
Organism: Rosa rugosa (rugosa rose)
Lineage: Eukaryota; Viridiplantae; Streptophyta; Magnoliopsida; Rosales; Rosaceae
Exons: 3
Source: RefSeq, a predicted model, not a curated record
GGAGCAUUUUAAUGUGGUAUUUUAAUAGUUAAUUCCUCACAUUUUGCUUAGUUAAUUCCUUAACGAAUCGAUUUUUAACUCAAUUUCUAUUUUCUUAGGUACAUUGGAGUAAAUGAUGGUGAAAUAAGCAUUAGGUCCACACUUACCUAUAAAUGGUGGAGAAAAAUGGAAAUGUACUAAAAUGUCAAUUUUACACAUUUUCCUACUCCGGCUAGGAGAAACCAAGCCAAGCAAGGAAGAAGGAGCGGCCGCCGGACCAAAUGAACUUCAAAUGAGCUGAAACUUUCCAGAUCCAUUCUAGACAGCCCAAGGAUCAUUUCUUAUGAAGAGUGCAAGAACUUUUGUUGAGUGGAAGGCCUUCAAACAAUCAACCCAAUUUUCUACAGAAGCAAAACUGGAAAACUGGACCUGUAAGAGGUCCAGCAGCAUUUUCGGCCCAACCACAUGGAAUAAAAAUCUGAAAUUUUACCAGGGUGAUCUACACUCAUAAUGGAACAUUUUUUAUGAAGAGGUCAUAGUGAAAUUGGGAAUGCUUGUUGGAGAAAUAAUUGAAGGAAUAAAGGGGCAGAAACUGAUCUAAAAAACAGCUCAACAUCACAUGUUCAUGUUUCCUACCCACAUGAAGAAAGCUAGAUGCUUUUCUCUUUUUCCUUGGAUAUAUUUUUCUGCUCCAAUAGAUCAUCAUCACUUCCAUACUUCUACACCUUCAUGCCUUGCUUUCAUUUCAUCAUUACUCCAUCUUUUCCAUAUUUUACAAACCACUUUCAUUAUUUUUCUUCCAUUUAUCAUUUCACUCUUCUUUUUCUUCCCUAUAUAAACACCUUCUCCUCUCACUCUAAACACAUUCCUUCAUCCAUUUCAUCUUCUUUGUCUCUCCAUUUCCAUUCCAUUUUUCUCUCCAUUCUCUAGUUGCAAAAUUCUGCGUUUUCAAGUAAGAAGAAGAAGAAGAAGAAGGAGCCGGGAAUAUCAUAUCCUCCAUUGUCCACCUUGAAGGCUUGCUUCCAAGAUUCAAGAUUUCAACGUUUCAAGCACUCCAUCUCCAUCUCCAACUCACGGUGUGUACCCUCAAUCCCCGGAAUAGAACGAUCCCUAUUUGCUUAUACUACUAACGAUGUUUUCAGGGUUAAAUUAUGCGCUUGCUUUGAGCGUAUCAAUUAAUUGAAGGAAUAAAGGGGCAGAAACUGAUCUAAAAAACAGCUCAACAUCACAUGUUCAUGUUUCCUACCCACAUGAAGAAAGCUAGAUGCUUUUCUCUUUUUCCUUGGAUAUAUUUUUCUGCUCCAAUAGAUCAUCAUCACUUCCAUACUUCUACACCUUCAUGCCUUGCUUUCAUUUCAUCAUUACUCCAUCUUUUCCAUAUUUUACAAACCACUUUCAUUAUUUUUCUUCCAUUUAUCAUUUCACUCUUCUUUUUCUUCCCUAUAUAAACACCUUCUCCUCUCACUCUAAACACAUUCCUUCAUCCAUUUCAUCUUCUUUGUCUCUCCAUUUCCAUUCCAUUUUUCUCUCCAUUCUCUAGUUGCAAAAUUCUGCGUUUUCAAGUAAGAAGAAGAAGAAGAAGAAGGAGCCGGGAAUAUCAUAUCCUCCAUUGUCCACCUUGAAGGCUUGCUUCCAAGAUUCAAGAUUUCAACGUUUCAAGCACUCCAUCUCCAUCUCCAACUCACGGUGUGUACCCUCAAUCCCCGGAAUAGAACGAUCCCUAUUUGCUUAUACUACUAACGAUGUUUUCAGGGUUAAAUUAUGCGCUUGCUUUGAGCGUAUCAAUUUUUGGCGCCGUUGCCGGGGAUUGAAAAAUCACUUGUUUUUGUUUAUAAUUGUUGUAUAUAAACUGUUUGAUACUUAGUUUAAAUUAACUAGGUUGUUUUUUUUUAUUGUUGAAUACGAGUUUAAUUGUGAGUUGUAAAUUAAAGAAGGAAUAGGUGAAGUCGUGUUUAUUAAUAUUGGCCUAAACCCCUUAUUGGUACCUAGUUCAGGUCCCUUAAGGUUGAGGGCGGCCUUUAUUAACAUUCAUUGAACUGUCUAACACACUUAGGACCUUUUACAUCCUAGUAAGAAUAUCCUAUGUGAGAUGGUGUCUAGGAAGGGGAUAACGUUCAUGACGGGUUUUUGAAUCCAGAAGUGCUUAUAAAUGGGCUUAGCUCAUGCCAAAAUGGAUUUUUCCUCUCGUGUUCACCCUCCCCUACCUGGCCAUUUCAGUAAGGUUGCCCAACGGAUGUAGGAGGGACUUUGUGUCUAGACGACUAUACUUGGGCCGCACGUCCACUUGAUUUACCGCUUGGAAUUAGAUUUGAUAUCAAUAAUGUUUAUAACAAAAGAAAUACUUGUGCAUACUCUUUACGUGUAAAUUAUUUUGUUGUUUCACACUUUAUACUUGUAAAAAUACUUUUUACGUUUUAUACUCACUUGUGUA